RNAcentral lists this transfer RNA (72 nucleotides) under Stephanometra indica. RNAcentral describes it as "tRNA-Leu". It matches the Rfam family "tRNA". From Rfam's summary of the family: Transfer RNA (tRNA) molecules are approximately 80 nucleotides in length. Their secondary structure includes four short double-helical elements and three loops (D, anti-codon, and T loops). The record is from RNAcentral. Lineage: Eukaryota; Metazoa; Echinodermata; Crinoidea; Comatulida; Stephanometridae.
GUUAAAAUAGCAAAGAAGUUAAUGCAGAAGAUCUAAGCUCUUCUAUCAAAGGUUCAAAUCCUUUUUUUAACU